RNAcentral lists this long non-coding RNA (201 nucleotides) under Elaeis guineensis (African oil palm). RNAcentral describes it as "long non-coding RNA (EGUI_LNC040793)". The record is from RNAcentral. Lineage: Eukaryota; Viridiplantae; Streptophyta; Magnoliopsida; Arecales; Arecaceae.
GCCAAAAAAUUUUAAGAUGACAAGUGCUGGACAGAUGAUAGAAUAUAGGUGGUAACAGAUUUGGUAAGCCAAUCUAGUAUCUUAUUAGAAAAAGAAGGAAACUGAGAUAUUUUCUAGAUCCAAAAAAUUAUCCUAAUACAAAAAAAUCUUUAGAAAGGCAAAAUUAAUAUACAAACUUAUUAAGUUUUUCUUCACCCACUG